CUCCGAAGUUUCCCUCAGGAUAGCUGGCGCUUGUCACGACGUAAACCUUCGCAGUUUUAUCCGGUAAAGCGAAUGAUUAGAGGUCUUGGGGCCGAAACGAUCUCAACCUAUUCUCAAACUUUAAAUGGGUAAGAAGCGCGGCUUGCUGGCUUGGAGCCGGGUGUGGAAUGCGAGUGCCUAGUGGGCCACAGAACUGGCGCCGCGGGAUGAACCGAACGCCGUGUUAAGGCACCCGAUGCCGACGCUCAUCAGACCCCACUAUAACGGCUUAAAGCAUAGAAUUUUUAGCAGGGCUAACCGUACAGCUAUCUUUGCUAUAAUAAGUUACUAAGAG
This is a non-coding RNA of Pelobates cultripes (western spadefoot toad), 334 nucleotides long. The record is from the annotation of a GenBank genome assembly. NCBI's taxonomy places the organism in Eukaryota, Metazoa, Chordata, Amphibia, Anura, Pelobatidae.